GCCUGGGUGGCUCAGUCAGUUAAGCAUCUGAUUUCAGCUCAGAUCAUGAUCUCGUGCUUUGUGGGUUUGAACCCCACAUCAGGCU
Molecule: transfer RNA, 85 nt
Filed under: Felis catus (domestic cat)
Lineage: Eukaryota; Metazoa; Chordata; Mammalia; Carnivora; Felidae
Also listed under: 1 other name
Rfam family: tRNA
About the family: Transfer RNA (tRNA) molecules are approximately 80 nucleotides in length. Their secondary structure includes four short double-helical elements and three loops (D, anti-codon, and T loops).
Source: Rfam by way of RNAcentral